Molecule: long non-coding RNA, 241 nt
Organism: Patella vulgata (common limpet)
Lineage: Eukaryota; Metazoa; Mollusca; Gastropoda; Patellidae
Exons: 3
Source: RefSeq, a predicted model, not a curated record
AGUUUGUACGGAUGCUAAGUAUUUUGUGUGGGCAAGAAUCAACUGUAGAAGGCAUUGUCGUCUCUGUUACAACCAGACUAAUAACUGGAAUGGAACUUACACAGGCGGUCAGAUUCCAGGAAAGAUACCAACAGGUCUGGAAACAGCAACUACCCAGCUACCAUCUACAACAGCUACUCCCCGACCCGUGCCUACAAAUGGACAUCUUAUAGGUGGACAGAAUACCUUUAUUGUUGAAGGA